Molecule: long non-coding RNA, 1382 nt
Organism: Pan troglodytes (chimpanzee)
Lineage: Eukaryota; Metazoa; Chordata; Mammalia; Primates; Hominidae
Exons: 3
Source: RefSeq, a predicted model, not a curated record
GUCAGUUGGAGUUUGGCUGGUCUAGGCUGGGUGCAGCUGGUGCUCAGUUUGCUGCACCUGUCUUCUCCUCUUCCUGGAAUAGCAGGAAAGCCCAGUCACGGCUUCCUGUGGCCACAGAAGAGGCACAAAGGAGCCACCUGAGAACAAUUUACCAAGCUGCAUUUUCAAAAGCUCCCCCAGACUGCUGCAAAGAGACUCAGCUGGAGGGGAGAAAACUUGAAACUCCAGGAAACCCUGACCCUGUGGAUGGCCCUGUCAAUCUGCAUGUCUCAUGCUGGGACAGAGGUUAGGACUCCUAGGACAUGAAGUGGUAACUCAUCAUUAUCACCAUCACACAGCAGCUGGAACCAGCAGCCUCACCAGGCCUUUCUCCUUUAAUAAUGACAAACAUGGUGUGCAGUCUGGGCCACUUAAUCCUGUUCUGCAGAUGGGGACUCUGAGACAUAAAGAGGUAAAGAUCAUGCAGGUGACAAAGCUAGCUGAAGAUUAGUAUUAUGAGACAUGAGAAUAGUAACUGAAGGGUUGAUUUGUAAAUGUGAAAAAUUGGAAAUCAGCCUUGAUUUCCAACAAUAGGGUAUUGAUGUGUAAUACAACCACACAGUAGGGUAUUGUACAGCGACUAAGAAUGAUACAGCAGUAUUUGUUGACAUGGGAACAUUUUUCACAGUAUGCUUUAAAAAAAGAUAGAUAAGUGCUUAUUAAUAAUAUAGGUACAGGGACUCAAGUCAAAGUGGGGAUAUAUUCUAAACUCUGGCGACCAAUUUCCUAAACCAUGUAGUUUUUGCUAUAGAAAACAUCUAGCUGUGGGUCUGCUUGUAAUACUCAGUAUAUUACCUUAUUUCAUAUGCCAUUUAUUUCUUCUUUAUGAAAAUGGUGUCAUUCAUCUUUAUUAAUGUAGUUGAAAUUCAUGAACUUUCUGUGUGAAUCAUUUAAUCAAGAAAAAUGUGUUACGGGGAUAGAUUUUAUAUAAAUGAGAAUGAAAUGAAAUGUUUCAUUAAAAUAUGUAAAAGUUGCCCAGUAUAUCUUAAGGAGAAAUCGUAUGUGUAUAAUAUUAUUGUAUUUUUGUAAGAUAAAACAAAUGUUGUAAGACCUUAAAAAUAUUGUUAGGAGAAAAAAAUACAUGUAUGCAUAGAAAAAUGUCUAGAAGGAUAAAUGCUAAAAUGUUCAUCCUGGACCUCUGCAAGAUGGGGCUAUGGGUGAUUUUUUACCCCUUCCUUUAUUGUUCACCUGUAUUUUCUAAUUUUUCAAUAACGUUCAUGUGUUACUUAUUUAGAAAAGACAGGGGAUGAAUGUUUAAAGUGAUGGAUAUGGUAAUUACCCUGACUUGAUCAUGAUACAAUGUGUAUAUGCAUUGAAACAUCACACUGUACCCCAUAAACAUG